GACGAACGCUGGCGGCGUGCUUAACACAUGCAAGUCGAACGGAAAGGCCCUGCUUUUGUGGGGUGCUCGAGUGGCGAACGGGUGAGUAACACGUGAGUAACCUGCCCUUGACUUUGGGAUAACUUCAGGAAACUGGGGCUAAUACCGGAUAGGAGCUCCUGCUGCAUGGUGGGGGUUGGAAAGUUUCGGCGGUUGGGGAUGGACUCGCGGCUUAUCAGCUUGUUGGUGGGGUAGUGGCUUACCAAGGCUUUGACGGGUAGCCGGCCUGAGAGGGUGACCGGCGACAUUGGGACUGAGAUACGGCCCAGACUCCUACGGGAGGCAGCGGUGGGGAAUAUGGCACAAUGGGCGGAAGCCAGAUGCAGCAACGCCGCGUGCGGGAUGACGGCCUUCGGGUUGUAAACCACUUUCGCCUGUGACGAAGCGUGAGUGACGGUAAUGGGUAAAGAAGCACCGGCUAACUACGUG
Molecule: ribosomal RNA, 468 nt
Filed under: uncultured bacterium
Lineage: Bacteria
Description: partial 16S ribosomal RNA
Rfam family: Bacterial small subunit ribosomal RNA
Source: RNAcentral